GACGAACGCUGGCGGCGUGCUUAACACAUGCAAGUCGAACGGAAAGGCCCUGCUUUUGUGGGGUGCUCGAGUGGCGAACGGGUGAGUAACACGUGAGUAACCUGCCUUUGACUUUGGGAUAACUUCAGGAAACUGGGGCUAAUACCGGAUAGGAGCUCCUGCUGCAUGGUGGGGGUUGGAAAGUUUCGGCGGUUGGGGAUGGACUCGCGGCUUAUCAGCUUGUUGGUGGGGUAGUGGCUUACCAAGGCUUUGACGGGUAGCCGGCCUGAGAGGGUGACCGGCCACAUUGGGACUGAGAUACGGCCCAGACUCCUACGGGAGGCAGCAGUGGGGAAUAUUGCACAAUGGGCGGAAGCCAGAUGCAGCAACGCCGCGUGCGGGAUGACGGCCUUCGGGUUGUAAACCGCUUUCGCCUGUGACGAAGCGUGAGUGACGGUAAUGGGUAAAGAAGCACCGGCUAACUACGUG
RNAcentral lists this ribosomal RNA (468 nucleotides) under uncultured bacterium. RNAcentral's name for it is "partial 16S ribosomal RNA". It matches the Rfam family "Bacterial small subunit ribosomal RNA", at positions 28 to 507 of the family's 1533-position model. The record is from RNAcentral.